Molecule: long non-coding RNA, 549 nt
Filed under: Nicotiana tabacum (common tobacco)
Lineage: Eukaryota; Viridiplantae; Streptophyta; Magnoliopsida; Solanales; Solanaceae
Description: long non-coding RNA (NTAB_LNC009685)
Source: RNAcentral
GGGGCCGGAACUUUGGCUUCUUCGUCGACGAAUUGCUAUUCUUCUACAAAGCUUACAUACUUGUCUUCCUUGCAAUUUCCCAGAGAGCUUCGCCGUCUUCAAAUUGGAAACUGUGGGUUGAAAUCCAAUAAAGGGACUUCACGGCUUGUUCCUCUGGUAUUUCUUUUUAUUCUAUCCCAAAUCCCAAUAUUGGUGUUUUUUAUUUAUUUUUUUAAAAAAAUUUCGUUUGUUUUCAGCUAUGUAUGUUUGAUGUUUUAUGUUAACUUUCUUUUUGAUUAUCUAAUUAAUGUGAAAAGGAAAUGAAUAGUGUUACGAGAAAUUAGGUCCACAAUGAGUUUCAGUUUAUUAUUGUUACCUGUAUUUUCUAGUUUACUAAAGAUGUGACCGGCUAUUUAGUUUCUUUGAUGUGACCUGUUGUUUAAUUUCCUGUACUUCGCUUUGUAGUCUAAAGCUCUUUUCGAGUGCCAAGGGGAGAAAUGUUAGUAAUUGAUAAGCUAGUGCAAAGGGGGGAAAUGUUACACCAUUGGUUAAAGGUGAGUUUUGCUUAGA